GGGGUGGGCAAAAAAAUUGAAAAUUUUUUCAAGGUCCGAGGUGGGCGAAAAAUUGAAAAUUUUUUCAAGGUCCGGGGUGGGCGAAUAAUUGAAAAUUUUUUCAAGGUCCGGGUGGGCAAAAAAAUUGAAAAUUUUUUCAAGGUCCGGGGUGGGCAAAAAAAUUGAAAAUUUUUUCAAGGUCCGGGGUGGGCAAAAAAAUUGAAAAUUUUUUCAAGGUCCGAGGUGGGCGAAAAAUUGAAAAUUUUUUCAAGGUCCGGGGUGGGCGAAUAAUUGAAAAUUUUUUCAAGGUCCGGGUGGGCAAAAAAAUUGAAAAUUUUUUCAAGGUCCGGGGUG
Non-coding RNA from Paramuricea clavata, 333 nucleotides. The record is from the annotation of a GenBank genome assembly. NCBI's taxonomy places the organism in Eukaryota, Metazoa, Cnidaria, Anthozoa, Malacalcyonacea, Plexauridae.